This 67-nucleotide transfer RNA is filed under the name bovine gut metagenome. It matches the Rfam family "tRNA". From Rfam's summary of the family: Transfer RNA (tRNA) molecules are approximately 80 nucleotides in length. Their secondary structure includes four short double-helical elements and three loops (D, anti-codon, and T loops). The record is from RNAcentral.
GGGUGUAGUACAACGGCUAGUACGCCAGCCUUCCAAGCUGGAUACGUGGGUUCGAUUCCCAUCACCC